This 242-nucleotide unclassified non-coding RNA is filed under the name Hevea brasiliensis (rubber tree). The record is from RNAcentral. Lineage: Eukaryota; Viridiplantae; Streptophyta; Magnoliopsida; Malpighiales; Euphorbiaceae.
AGUUUCCGCCUGGAACCCACAGCAUUUAUACCCAUAUCUUUAAGAUCCUCCAAGGUUAGUAAUGGCAAUAUCUCAUCAUCCACUUCGUGUACCUCGAAAACUGGAGCAUAUCGGCUCAAUCCCAAUUCAAUUAACCAAGUCCUCACUCCUUCGCUCGUGCCGCAAUUUCGGUCCCUGGAAUCCGAUUCCAGGUGAUUUUCCAUUUCCAUUGCAUCGUUUUCCCUACUCUCUGAAACCCUAGG